RNAcentral lists this ribosomal RNA (200 nucleotides) under uncultured bacterium. RNAcentral's name for it is "partial 16S ribosomal RNA". It matches the Rfam family "Bacterial small subunit ribosomal RNA", at positions 8 to 212 of the family's 1533-position model. The record is from RNAcentral.
AGAGUUUGAUCAUGGCUCAGAUUGAACGCUGGCGGCACGCCUAACACAUGCAAGUCGAGCGGUAACAUGCCCCGCACUAGUUGCGGGGUGAUGACGAGCGGCGGACGGGUGAGGAACACGUAGGAACUUGCCCUUCAGAGGGGGACAACCAAGGGAAACUUUGGCUAAUACCGCAUAAACUCGAAAGAGAAAAGUUGCCC